This 492-nucleotide ribosomal RNA is filed under the name uncultured bacterium. Its description in RNAcentral is "partial 16S ribosomal RNA". It matches the Rfam family "Bacterial small subunit ribosomal RNA", at positions 29 to 507 of the family's 1533-position model. The record is from RNAcentral.
AGUGAACGCUGGCGGCGUGCCUAACACAUGCAAGUCGAACGGAAAGACAGUAAGAUUGUGCUCUUACCGGUGGCGGGUGGCGGGCGGGUGACGAAUGCAUCGGAAUCUACUUUUUCGGGGAGGAUAACGUAAGGAAGGUUACGCUAAUACAGCAUAUGAUGUACCGGGGAGAGCAGUGGAUAUUCGGGGCUUGCGCGAUUGAAUUAGCCGGUGCCGGGUUAGCUAGUUGGGGGGGUAAUGGCCCACCAUGGCGAGGAGCCGUAGCCGAUCUGAGAGGAUGAUCGGCCACACUGGAACUGAGACACGGUCCAGACUCCUACGGGAGGCAGCAGUGGGGAAUAUUGGGCAAUGGGCGCAAGCCUGACGCAGCCAUGCCGCGUGGGUGAAGAAGGCCUUCGGGUCGUAAAGCCCUUUUGUUGGGAAAGAACAGCUGUAGGUUAAUACCCCGCGGUUGUGACGGUACCGAAUGAAUAAGCACCGGCUAACUACGUG